Physella acuta is the source of this 949-nucleotide long non-coding RNA. RefSeq lists it as uncharacterized. The record is from RefSeq and is a predicted model, not a curated record. NCBI's taxonomy places the organism in Eukaryota, Metazoa, Mollusca, Gastropoda, Physidae.
CCCUCUGUAUUUAACGCGUGCACGCGUUCUUCAUCAGAUCAGACAAACGGCACUACAAUCCUAACACGUUUACAACAGUAGACAUUUGAAGAAAGUUGAAUAACAUCUGGAAUCCAUCACCUGCAUUCUUCAACGUCUGUGUAAGUCAGGAAUCCAACCAUGAAGCUCAUCUACAUAGUAUUGCUUCUUGUCUGUUGUGUUCUCGCUGUGCAGGCCACUGAGAACAAGCUGGACCAGGAUUUGAAUGUGGCCAAACGGGGACCUGAACAGGAAGUAAAACUUGAAGCCAAGUCAAUGGUAGCCAAGAAGUCGGACGUUCAGUCAGAGAUCACUAAAAGGAAGAGUAUAAGACGUAAGGGUGGUAAAUCAAUACCGAAGAAGGGUUAAGAUAGAGGAGAGGGCAGGGGAAGGAGUUACAAUGGACCAUAGCAUUUAUUUUUGACAGCCUCGUACAUACCAAUCUCGUUUAUUUUUAUAAUUGUUCAAACAUGGUUCAAAUCCUGUUAAAAAAUAACUUGUUUGUUUUACAAAAAACAUUUCUAUCCUUUUUAAAUAUAAAAAAUGAACAUUUGAUUCCGUUUUUACAUUGUUCUAAAAGAAUAGACUGCUUGUCAUUAGUUAUAAAUAACCUAGUGAUUAGUUUAUUGUAGUGUUCGGUUAAAUCGCCAUGUAAGGUCAUAUUUAAUGCUACAGACAACAGGCAUCUGUUACAGUAACUAGUCAGGUCAGGUAGGUCAAUUUCAGAUCAUUUACCUAUAGGUUCAGCUCAACCUAAAGAACACCGCGCACCUUAAGUACUGUAUCCAGGAUACGACAACUGGUCAGUAGAGCUGUAGCACUGGUCACUUUAUCCUAAAGAUUAUGUCCAUAUUAAACCGACAUGCUAUGUGUUGUAAUUAGUUUAAAACGUGAUUGGAGCUUUAUUUCAAUAAAAUGUUGAGUUCUGUCA